RNAcentral lists this ribosomal RNA (322 nucleotides) under uncultured eukaryote. RNAcentral describes it as "partial 18S ribosomal RNA". It matches the Rfam family "Eukaryotic small subunit ribosomal RNA", at positions 1470 to 1796 of the family's 1831-position model. The record is from RNAcentral.
CCCUUAGAUGUUCUGGGCCGCACGCGUGCUACACUGAGUGGAUCAGCGGGUCAGGUUGCGCGAAAGCGUUUCCUAAUCUUUAAAUCCGCUCGUGAUGGGGAUUGACGGUUGCAAUUUUCUGUCAUGAACGAGGAAUACCUUGUAAGCGCGGGUCAUCAUCCCGCGCUGAAUACGUCCCUGCCCUUUGUACACACCGCCCGUCGCUCCUACCGAUUGAGUGGUCCGGUGAGGCUUUGGGAUCUGAGCGGAAAGAGCGUUUCGCUGUCUCUGCUCGGAAAACUCAGUCGAACCUUAUCAUUUAGAGGAAGGAGAAGUCGUAACA